AAGAGGACAUAAAGGACGCCGUGGCAGGAGGCCGUGGAGCUGUUUCUUUGGAACCAGUGUCAGACCUGGAGGAGGAGCCAGACCCAGUAACAGUACAAAGUAAAACAGUUAAAGCAGCAGAGCUGGAUGUGAGGAUGAGGCGCUCUUUGCUCUGUAUGCUGGAGUUAUUCUGGCUCUGUACACUCUGCUAUGGUGAUGCUGAAGACCAUGACAAGGCUACACUGACAGCAGACAGCACAACCAUACCAGCAGGGGCAGUGUGACACUGACCUGUGAUGUGAAGGAAUCUGCUGACUUAAAAUAUGAGUGGUUCAGACAAACGUCAUCUGAAGAAAAGUCCAUAAAAACUCAUGAAUCAGGCAGAGCGAUCUCUGUGUCUGAAGGAGGCACGUACAUCUGCAGAGGAUGGAGAAGAGACACAAAUUCAUCCCAAACAGAAAGUGAUCCAGUCGUCAUUCAGCAAACUGUCCAACUUACAGUACAUGACAAGGCCACUCUGACAGCAAACAGCACAACCAUACCAGCAGGGGGCAGUGUGACACUGACCUGUGAUGUGAAGGAAUCUGCUGACUUAAAAUAUGAGUGGUUCAGACAAACGUCAUCUAACGAAAAGUCCAUAAUAACUAAUGAAUCAGGCAGAGCGAUCUCUGUGUCUGAAGGAGGAAAUUACACCUGUAGAGCUGAAGGGAAAAAUAUCAUCAUUACAGAAAGUGACUCAGUCACAGUUCAGGAAACCGUUCGUAACAGCAUCACAGUGAAACUGCAGCACAGCUGGUCUCAGAUAUUCACUGGUGAGACAAUCGCUCUCAGAUGUGAGAUUCAGGGAGGUGAAGGAAAGGUGUGGAAAUAUGAAUGGACAGCACCCAACACAAACAGCCCUCCAACAUCCAGUGAAUACAGGAUCAGCAGAGUUUCAGUGUCCCACAGUGGAGACUACAGAUGUCGGGGUAGCAGUGACUAUCUCUUAACAGGAUGGAGUGAUGCCUUCAGACUGACAGUUUCAUCAAGUAAACCCAGAGCCACACUGACAGCACAAAGUUCAAUCAUACCAGCAGGGGGCAGUGUGACACUGAACUGCUCUGUGGAGGGCUCUGCUGGCUGGAAGUUUGACUGGUUCAGACGUGAUUCAGUCUCUUC
Oreochromis aureus is the source of this 1137-nucleotide long non-coding RNA. RefSeq lists it as uncharacterized. The annotation marks the transcript as partial. The transcript is spliced from 7 exons. The record is from RefSeq and is a predicted model, not a curated record. NCBI's taxonomy places the organism in Eukaryota, Metazoa, Chordata, Actinopteri, Cichliformes, Cichlidae.